GCCAGGCACAGUGGUGCACGCCUGUAAUUUCAGCUCCUCAAGGGCUGAGGCAGGAGGAUCGAAAGUUGGAGGCCAGCAAGACCCUGUCUCAA
Molecule: small RNA, 92 nt
Filed under: Marmota monax (woodchuck)
Lineage: Eukaryota; Metazoa; Chordata; Mammalia; Rodentia; Sciuridae
Source: RNAcentral